RNAcentral lists this ribosomal RNA (252 nucleotides) under uncultured bacterium. RNAcentral's name for it is "partial 16S ribosomal RNA". It matches the Rfam family "Bacterial small subunit ribosomal RNA", at positions 524 to 776 of the family's 1533-position model. The record is from RNAcentral.
UACAGAGGGUGCGAGCGUUGUUCGGAAUUAUUGGGCGUAAAGCGCGUGUAGGCGGUAAUGUGUGUCGGGUGUGAAAGCCCUCAGCUUAACUGAGGAAGUGCGCCGAAACUACAUUGCUAGAGUGCCGGAGAGGGUGGCGGAAUUCCCGGUGUAGAGGUGAAAUUCGUAGAUAUCGGGAGGAACACCAGUGGCGAAGGCGGCCACCUGGACGGACACUGACGCUGAGACGCGAAAGCGUGGGGAGCAAACAGG